GACGAACGCUGGCGGCGUGCCUAAUACAUGCAAGUUGAGCGAUGAAGAUUGGUGCUUGCACCAAUUUGAAGAGCAGCGAACGGGUGAGUAACGCGUGGGGAAUCUGCCUUUGAGCGGGGGACAACUUUUGGAAACGAAUGCUAAUACCGCAUAACACCUUUAAAAAUAAGUUUUAAGUUUGAAAGAUGCAAUUGCAUCACCCAAAGAUGAUCCCGCGUUGUAUUAGCUAGUUGGUGAGGUAAAGGCUCACCAAGGCGAUGAUACAUAGCCGACCUGAGAGGGUGAUCGGCCACAUUGGGACUGAGACACGGCCCAAACUCCUACGGGAGGCAGCAGUAGGGAAUCUUCGGCAAUGGACGAAAGUCUGACCGAGCAACGCCGCGUGAGUGAAGAAGGGUUUCGGAUCGUAAAACUCUGUUGGUAGAGAAGAACGUUGGUGAGAGUGGGAAGCUCAUCAAGUGACGGUAACUACCCAGAAAGGGACGGCUAACUACGUG
This 497-nucleotide ribosomal RNA is filed under the name uncultured bacterium. Its description in RNAcentral is "partial 16S ribosomal RNA". It matches the Rfam family "Bacterial small subunit ribosomal RNA", at positions 28 to 507 of the family's 1533-position model. The record is from RNAcentral.